This is a long non-coding RNA of Oreochromis aureus, 3455 nucleotides long. RefSeq lists it as uncharacterized. NCBI's taxonomy places the organism in Eukaryota, Metazoa, Chordata, Actinopteri, Cichliformes, Cichlidae. The record is from RefSeq and is a predicted model, not a curated record. The transcript is spliced from 8 exons.
GGGGGCCGAAUACUUUUGCAAGCCACUGUAUCUACCUUUCCCUUUGCCUACAGCAAUACGAGUAAUACAUUAAGUGAACUGGUCUUUUCUAUUCUAAGUUUCUAUUCCUGUGUGCCUGUGCGAGCGUUAAGUCACGCACGUAUAAUGUUGCAUCCUUGCAUAUGUGUGCCUACGCUGUGUGAAGUUGUGUCUAUGUUUAUGUCUGCUUGCGCUUAAUUAGGGGAAGCAGUGAGCAUUUCACUUCUGGAGGGGAUUUUAUGGCUAUGUAAAUAUCAUACAUCAUGAUUCAGCGAGGUGAGGCGAGCGUAGCCCAGCGGCUGCCAAAUCUCACUUAGAUUGCUGUCUAGAUGGCAACAGUGGAGGGUGACACAGCCAACGCAGAAGUGAUGACUGAUUUGUUUCUCUGGGUCAGAACACACGGGGGUGGAUUUGUCUUAAGGUGCUUAAAACGAAAGCGUAUGAUGCUGUCAUUUAAUCCCGACUGCCGAUUUCAUUUAAAGCAACACCAAAGAUAGUGUCACUAUUGCCAGUUUAAUAGCAUGUCAAAUAACUGUUCGCUAGCAUCAAGGGAACUGAAACUCAGCUCAUGCAUUACUGUAAAAAGUAAUGACAACUUUGUGCUUAAAUUACUGCAAAGAUGGGUUACUUUUCAAAAUCUAUUUUACCUCCUAUCUGAAUGCUUUUGUUCAGCUUUUUUGUUUGCAAUCCAACACAUGUAGUGCUGGUACAGAAAGCUUGGUGGAUGCUAGAACAGUUGGUUUAGUUUACAUUGUGCAGCUCAGCUCCAGUCCUACAAUAGGAACAAGGUUAUUCAUUUCACUGGAAACUGAGAGUGGCUACACAUGAUGGAUUUAUCAGUGGGCAUUUGUUGAAUAUGUGAAAUUUUACAUGGUGUUACUUGUCUUUGUGUUUUAUAGAGUGACAGCUAUGACAGAGGAAGGUUUCCACUGGAAAUGUGCUUGAUAAAUCACAAAAAUUGGAAUUUGUUGCAUUACAGAAAAGGCAGGAGACACAAAAAACACAGUGAAGCUGCUCUACAAACCUUGACAAAAACAUGUCAUUUCCAAGCCUCGCAAACCAAAACCUGCAGUUGUCAGGAUCUUCAAAUCAAACAGGACUUGUCCAGCAGAAUGAAUGAAUACCAGUUUUCACGGCAAAGUCGCUAAGUGCAGAAGUACCUAAGAGUUCUAUGCCAUAAAGAUAUUCAAGAGCCCCAAUGAGUUCCAGAAGCCCAACAGAGAGCUGACCAUGCUGAAAAACAUCAGUGGGCUUGACCCUGUGAGUAUUGGUCGGUUCUUUGAGGACUUUCAACAGACAGGCACACUUGUCUAGUGUUUGAAAUGCUACACGUGGAUAUAGACAUAUUGGAAAAGAAGCUACACUGCAAACCACUCUCCCUUCAUGAGAUUAAACCCAUAACACAGCAGGAAGUCAUUCUAAUCACUACUUCCUGCCUUCCACUCUGAGAUCUCCUGAAGUUUUCCUGGGUCUUCCUACCUCAGAGACAAUAGAUAUAUUUGGGUACCUUGGCAGCCCACUAUUCCCUCAGUGGUGCCUCUAUUACCUGGUUGACUCUUCAACACACACGUGGACUCCAGAUGUCUGAAGCGUACCGACUGGGACUGGAUUCCCACCUCAGAGAGGCAAAGCGACUGAGUUCAAAAGUCUGUACGACCUGGUGGUGCUGUACCCAGAUGUGAAAACAUAUGAGGACAAGAUAAAGUUUGUCAGCCUUCUGGGGAUGAUGCUGCAUCUGAAUCCUCACUACACCAAGUGAUGCGCUGACACACCUGUGCUUGAGCGCCUGUAAAUCGGAGUGAUGCCACCAGUUUUGAGUGAAUCAUUUUCUGUGUGUAUUACUUUUUGGCUUACACUUCUGCAGUGAGAUUAAACUUUCGUCAUCCAGUGACAUAGACCCCACCAGUGGUGAAAUCAGCAGGAGAAGGCAACACCACAACAACUAAAGAAUCACCCUCAGAUUGUGCCACAGUUUUGGCUCACGCUGCUACAAAUGAUGCCGCAGUUGGAUCAGAAAUGACUUGCAGAAACAACGCCGUCUCAGCUGCUCAAGCAGCCUCAGAGAGGUUGCCAGAUUAACGGAUGACUCUGCCUCUUCAGAGGAAGAUUUGGGUGAGGCUCUAAGAGCAGCAUCAAACGAGCCUGCACUCAUACACAUUGUAACCACGCCCAUGAUGACUGCCCUCUGUGGCACUGCUUCAGCUGUCAGGAACGGUCUUCAUGUUCUCAGCUUCAAAGGUUAACAAUGAGUCACAUGAAGUUGCCAACGGUUCCGCAGAUUGAGUCUCAGCUGAAGCAAAUGAUGCUGUCCGAGCUGAUGACGUCCGGUCAGCAGCACCACACUGGGUGAAGUUAACUGUGACCCUACUAUGGACAGAAAUGCUCGGACUGAAAGCAGUUAGAAAAUGUUUGGACAGGAUGUUUAGCUCUCCAUACUGCUGUGGCUAUAAGUCAACAUAAUCGUUCAAUGUUUUUCUCAUAUUCCCACAAAUUAAAUACAAAUAUUAACUUACAGGCCUUGAGUUGUCUGACCUGGUGACUGAAAAAGCAGUCACAUAGCAACAGCCUCAGCAGAUGCAGUGACAGCAGUUGUAGCAGGAGGAGCACUUGUGUCAGCUUCACUAUAACACCAAUGCUGUAGCUUUAGUAGCUGUAAGUUUUCAAACUGAAAAAAAAAUCAUCAUUAAUCAUUUGCCUUUAAUAUUUUUCCUCACAAAGUUUAAUUACUUUACAAGAUUUUUCACAUUUAAAUCAACUGCUGCGAAUAUUUCAGUUCAAGUUUAAACACCAAAUACCAGAUUUGCUUUGGAAGCUAAUCAUUAUCAGAUAUUUAACUUAUGUGAAAAAUUGUAUUAUUUAUCUGCAGUUAAAAAAUAUAACAAAUACAAAUAACUCAAACCCCACGUAUGCAUCUCUUUGGAACUAAAAAGAGACCAUUUUUGUGCCUGAUAUCACACAAAAACUAUAAAAAAAAAUGGAAAUGUGUGGUGUGGUAAGGUCAUUAAUCCACUUCAGCACCUAGAAAUAAAUAUACUAUGCAUGCCUGUUCGUGAUUAGUUACGGGUUCAUGAUGUUGUUUAAAGUAAGUUGUUUAGUUUUUGUUGUGUAGCCUGUAAAGGUAGCCAAGUGUAUAGGCUAUAAUUAUACAGGAAUUCCUCUUCCAAACAGUUUGAAAUGCACAUAAGCGAUGGUAUAAAUGUGCUCUGACAAAAUUACAGUGUGAGUUGAGAUAAUGCCCCCUUGCUGGUCACCUGUCCAGCACAUAUGGUCUGACAUCUCUGACUCUCUGACUUGAUAUUAAAGAUGUAUAGCAUGGUGCACCCAAUUUCAGUAACAUAAAUGAUGUGAAAACUUUUUCCACCACUCUCCUUUGGUAACACACAAACACCAACCAUCUGCAGGUUUGCUGACUGCAAAUAAAGACUCCAGGUCUCUGA